This 2878-nucleotide ribosomal RNA is filed under the name Pseudomonas syringae pv. maculicola. Its description in RNAcentral is "bacterial LSU rRNA". It matches the Rfam family "Bacterial large subunit ribosomal RNA". The record is from RNAcentral. Lineage: Bacteria; Pseudomonadati; Pseudomonadota; Gammaproteobacteria; Pseudomonadales; Pseudomonadaceae.
AGCGCAUACGGUGGAUGCCUUGGCAGUCAGAGGCGAUGAAAGACGUGGUAGCCUGCGAAAAGCUUCGGGGAGUCGGCAAACAGACUGUGAUCCGGAGAUGUCUGAAUGGGGGAACCCAGCCAUCAUAAGAUGGUUAUCUUACACUGAAUACAUAGGUGUAAGAGGCGAACCAGGGGAACUGAAACAUCUAAGUACCCUGAGGAAAAGAAAUCAACCGAGAUUCCCUUAGUAGUGGCGAGCGAACGGGGACCAGCCCUUAAGUUGUAUUGAGAUUAGCGGAACGCUCUGGAAAGGGCGGCCAUAGUGGGUGAUAGCCCUGUACGCGAAAAUCCCUUUGCAAUGAAAUCGAGUAGGACGGGGCACGAGAAACCUUGUCUGAAUAUGGGGGGACCAUCCUCCAAGGCUAAAUACUACUGACUGACCGAUAGUGAACCAGUACCGUGAGGGAAAGGCGAAAAGAACCGCGGAGAGCGGAGUGAAAUAGAUCCUGAAACCGUAUGCGUACAAGCAGUGGGAGCCCACGUUGUUGGGUGACUGCGUACCUUUUGUAUAAUGGGUCAGCGACUUAUUUUCAGUGGCGAGCUUAACCGAAUAGGGGAGGCGUAGCGAAAGCGAGUCUUAAUAGGGCGUCUAGUCGCUGGGAAUAGACCCGAAACCGGGCGAUCUAUCCAUGGGCAGGUUGAAGGUUGGGUAACACUAACUGGAGGACCGAACCGACUACCGUUGAAAAGUUAGCGGAUGACCUGUGGAUCGGAGUGAAAGGCUAAUCAAGCUCGGAGAUAGCUGGUUCUCCUCGAAAGCUAUUUAGGUAGCGCCUCAUGUAUCACUGUAGGGGGUAGAGCACUGUUUCGGCUAGGGGGUCAUCCCGACUUACCAAACCGAUGCAAACUCCGAAUACCUACAAGUGCCGAGCAUGGGAGACACACGGCGGGUGCUAACGUCCGUCGUGAAAAGGGAAACAACCCAGACCGUCAGCUAAGGUCCCAAAGUCAUGGUUAAGUGGGAAACGAUGUGGGAAGGCUUAGACAGCUAGGAGGUUGGCUUAGAAGCAGCCACCCUUUAAAGAAAGCGUAAUAGCUCACUAGUCGAGUCGGCCUGCGCGGAAGAUGUAACGGGGCUCAAACCAUGCACCGAAGCUACGGGUAUCACCUUUGGUGAUGCGGUAGAGGAGCGUUCUGUAAGCCUGUGAAGGUGAGUUGAGAAGCUUGCUGGAGGUAUCAGAAGUGCGAAUGCUGACAUGAGUAACGACAAUGGGUGUGAAAAACACCCACGCCGAAAGACCAAGGUUUCCUGCGCAACGUUAAUCGACGCAGGGUUAGUCGGUCCCUAAGGCGAGGCUGAAAAGCGUAGUCGAUGGAAAACAGGUUAAUAUUCCUGUACUUCUGGUUAUUGCGAUGGAGGGACGGAGAAGGCUAGGCCAGCCUGGCGUUGGUAGUCCAGGUUUAAGGUGGUAGGCUGAGAUCUUAGGUAAAUCCGGGAUCUUAAGGCCGAGAGCUGAUGACGAGUGUUCUUUUAGAACAUGAAGUGGUUGAUGCCAUGCUUCCAAGAAAAGCUUCUAAGCUUCAGGUAACCAGGAACCGUACCCCAAACCGACACAGGUGGUUGGGUAGAGAAUACCAAGGCGCUUGAGAGAACUCGGGUGAAGGAACUAGGCAAAAUGGCACCGUAACUUCGGGAGAAGGUGCGCCGGUGAGGGUGAAGCAUUUACUGCGUAAGCCCACGCCGGUCGAAGAUACCAGGCCGCUGCGACUGUUUAUUAAAAACACAGCACUCUGCAAACACGAAAGUGGACGUAUAGGGUGUGACGCCUGCCCGGUGCCGGAAGGUUAAUUGAUGGGGUUAGCGCAAGCGAAGCUCUUGAUCGAAGCCCCGGUAAACGGCGGCCGUAACUAUAACGGUCCUAAGGUAGCGAAAUUCCUUGUCGGGUAAGUUCCGACCUGCACGAAUGGCGUAACGAUGGCGGCGCUGUCUCCACCCGAGACUCAGUGAAAUUGAAAUCGCUGUGAAGAUGCAGUGUAUCCGCGGCUAGACGGAAAGACCCCGUGAACCUUUACUAUAGCUUUGCACUGGACUUUGAAUUUGCUUGUGUAGGAUAGGUGGGAGGCUUUGAAGCGUGGACGCCAGUCUGCGUGGAGCCAACCUUGAAAUACCACCCUGGCAACUUUGAGGUUCUAACUCAGGUCCGUUAUCCGGAUCGAGGACAGUGUAUGGUGGGUAGUUUGACUGGGGCGGUCUCCUCCUAAAGAGUAACGGAGGAGUACGAAGGUGCGCUCAGACCGGUCGGAAAUCGGUCGUAGAGUAUAAAGGCAAAAGCGCGCUUGACUGCGAGACAGACACGUCGAGCAGGUACGAAAGUAGGUCUUAGUGAUCCGGUGGUUCUGUAUGGAAGGGCCAUCGCUCAACGGAUAAAAGGUACUCCGGGGAUAACAGGCUGAUACCGCCCAAGAGUUCAUAUCGACGGCGGUGUUUGGCACCUCGAUGUCGGCUCAUCACAUCCUGGGGCUGAAGCCGGUCCCAAGGGUAUGGCUGUUCGCCAUUUAAAGUGGUACGCGAGCUGGGUUUAGAACGUCGUGAGACAGUUCGGUCCCUAUCUGCCGUGGACGUUUGAGAUUUGAGAGGGGCUGCUCCUAGUACGAGAGGACCGGAGUGGACGAACCUCUGGUGUUCCGGUUGUCACGCCAGUGGCAUUGCCGGGUAGCUAUGUUCGGAAAAGAUAACCGCUGAAAGCAUCUAAGCGGGAAACUUGCCUCAAGAUGAGAUCUCACUGGAACCUUGAGUUCCCUGAAGGGCCGUCGAAGACUACGACGUUGAUAGGUUGGGUGUGUAAGCGCUGUGAGGCGUUGAGCUAACCAAUACUAAUUGCCCGUGAGGCUUGACC